Drosophila santomea is the source of this 482-nucleotide long non-coding RNA. RefSeq lists it as uncharacterized. The record is from RefSeq and is a predicted model, not a curated record. NCBI's taxonomy places the organism in Eukaryota, Metazoa, Arthropoda, Insecta, Diptera, Drosophilidae. The transcript is spliced from 3 exons.
CAUUAAAUUUAAACAUAACUUGUUGAGUAAAAGAGUAUACAAGACCCUUUGAAAAGUAUUCCAGAUAUCAAGUGGAAUUGUAAUCAUCUACACGGCUGGGUAAUAAUCGGAGAUGUGCGCCCACAUAAGAAAUCGAACUCUGACUGAAUCGGUGACUGCUUUCGCAUGCAUCGACUUUUUAUGGCCGGCUACCGUCGAAAACAAUGGACUGAAAUGGAAAAAUAAUGCAAAAUCAUUUAGAUUACCUUCUAGGCCAAAGGGGACAUUAUUUCCCCUGGUAAAGUCAUAAAAUCCUGCAGCGAAUACAAUUCUCAUCAAGUCGCAAGUUUCCGCUAACCAACUGAAUACAAACCACAACGAAUCAGCUUUACAAAAAGGUCUGAUUAUCGGUGUUGACGGAUUUUUGCAAAAAAUCUUUCCCAGAAAUGACUGAAUUCCGGACUUUAUUAGACAACAACAAAAAGGAGUCACUUUCAAUGGAU